Molecule: long non-coding RNA, 471 nt
Filed under: Homo sapiens (human)
Lineage: Eukaryota; Metazoa; Chordata; Mammalia; Primates; Hominidae
Description: novel transcript, antisense to GPR68
Source: RNAcentral
GUGGUCCCCUCUCUGCUCAGCCUGCCUGAGCUGGUCUGAGGGUCCUGAUUUUUCACCAGUGCCUUCCCUUCUACUGUUCCCUGAGGACAGGCACCCCCAGAUGGAAACUCUGACUUGCCCUCUACCUCAUCUCCACAGGAACCUUCCUCCUCAAAAAUCAAAGAACACAGUGGAUGCGAAAAUAUUCCAUAAAUGGAAAAACGUAGAUGUAGAGAAGAACUAAGCCACAUCUGUCGAGGGCCCUGCACUUGCCAGGUCAUGAGCUAUGAAGUUGAUUUACUGACCCAUGAAUGGGUCACAACCCGCAGUUUGGAAACAGCUGGAUGGACCCCCACCUGUGCUUUCCAGCUUCUCCUAGAGCCUCAGGGCCCCAGGAAGGCAGUGUGGUCUCUGCAACCAGGUCCUUCUCCUGGGAGAAACACUUCAACUUUUGCAAAAGAUUCAUUAAUUCAUCACCAUGGCACCCAGAAA